AGGACGAACGCUGGCGGCGUGCCUAACACAUGCAAGUCGAACGCCCUCCGAUCGGUAGCAAUACUGAUGAAGAGGGAGUGGCGAACGGGUGAGUAGCACGUGAGCAACCUGCCCCGAAGACUGGGACAACACCGGGAAACCGGUGCUAAUACCGGAUAUCCCUAUCGGACCGCAUGAUCUGAUAAGGAAAUGGAUUCCGCUUCGGGAGGGGCUCGCGGCCUAUCAGCUAGUUGGUGAGGUAAUAGCUCACCAAGGCAUCGACGGGUAGCUGGUCUGAGAGGACGAUCAGCCACACUGGGACUGAGACACGGCCCAGACUCCUACGGGAGGCAGCAGUGGGGAAUCUUGCGCAAUGGGCGAAAGCGUGACGCGGCAACGCCGCGUGGGGGAAGAAGGGCUUUCGGGUUGUAAACCCUUUCAGUUGGGACGAAGCUUCGCCGGUGAAUAGCCGGCUGGAGUGACGGUACCUUCAGAAGAAGCCCGGCUAACUACGUGCCAGCAGCCG
Molecule: ribosomal RNA, 505 nt
Filed under: uncultured bacterium
Lineage: Bacteria
Description: SSU rRNA
Rfam family: Bacterial small subunit ribosomal RNA
Source: RNAcentral